UGGGGAAUAUUGCACAAUGGGCGCAAGCCUGAUGCAGCCAUGCCGCGUGUGUGAAGAAGGCCUUCGGGUUGUAAAGCACUUUCAGCGAGGAGGAAGGUGGUGAGCUUAAUACGCUCAUCAAUUGACGUUACUCGCAGAAGAAGCACCGGCUAACUCCGUGCCAGCAGCCGCGGUAAUACGGAGGGUGCAAGCGUUAAUCGGAAUUACUGGGCGUAAAGCGCACGCAGGCGGUUUGUUAAGUCAGAUGUGAAAUCCCCGGGCUCAACCUGGGAACUGCAUUUGAAACUGGCAAGCUAGAGUCUCGUAGAGGGGGGCUAGAAUUCCAGGUGUAGCGGUGAAAUGCGUAGAGAUCUGGAGGAAUACCGGUGGCGAAGGCGGCCCCCUGGACGAAGACUGACGCUCAGGUGCGAAAGCGUGGGGCAGCAAACAGGAUUAGAUACCCUGGUAGUCCAGCGCUGUAAACGAUGUCGAUUUGGAGGUUGUGCCCUUGAGGCGUGGCUUCCGGAGCUAACGCGUUAAAGUCGACCGCCU
This 531-nucleotide ribosomal RNA is filed under the name uncultured bacterium. Its description in RNAcentral is "partial 16S ribosomal RNA". It matches the Rfam family "Bacterial small subunit ribosomal RNA", at positions 355 to 874 of the family's 1533-position model. The record is from RNAcentral.